This 448-nucleotide long non-coding RNA is filed under the name Homo sapiens (human). RNAcentral's name for it is "HSALNT0394911". The record is from RNAcentral. Lineage: Eukaryota; Metazoa; Chordata; Mammalia; Primates; Hominidae.
UUCAGUGCCCGUGUCAUAGAGGAUUCCAUGUCAUAAAAGAAUUCAAAUCAGUCUUGAAUAAUUGGAGCCUUUCUAUCAGAUUCUCUCAUGUCAAUUUGUUUUCCUGCACUGCUUCCUCUAUGUCUUCUUCCUGGUUGUCUGGCACUGGUUUGAAAGCAUUUAUCUCUAUCAGGAUUUUCUUCCACAGUGUUGACAAUCCUCUCCAUAGAGUACCAUGUGUAAUAAACCUUAAAGGUCCUUAUGGCCCCCAUCUAGAGGCUGAAUUAGAGACAGUUUCAGGUUCACCAACAUACAAGAAACAAAGAAGCAUGAGACAGACUCUCAGACCCUUGUAUCUUUUCUAUAUAAAAAGAACUGAAAUGCAGUAUGUACUCCACUUGGGAUUUCCCAAGUUCACAUAAUUAAAUGAUUGAAAAAAUUAGUAUUAUUUUAUGUUUAAAGAAUACAA